Molecule: ribosomal RNA, 271 nt
Filed under: uncultured prokaryote
Description: partial 16S ribosomal RNA
Rfam family: Bacterial small subunit ribosomal RNA
Source: RNAcentral
UACGUAGGUGGCGAGCGUUGUCCGGAUUUACUGGGCGUAAAGGGAGCGUAGGCGGACUUUUAAGUGAGAUGUGAAAUACCCGGGCUCAACUUGGGUGCUGCAUUUCAAACUGGAAGUCUAGAGUGCAGGAGAGGAGAAUGGAAUUCCUAGUGUAGCGGUGAAAUGCGUAGAGAUUAGGAAGAACACCAGUGGCGAAGGCGAUUCUCUGGACUGUAACUGACGCUGAGGCUCGAAAGCGUGGGGAGCAAACAGGAUUAGAUACCCGGGUAGU